This 486-nucleotide ribosomal RNA is filed under the name Triticum aestivum (bread wheat). RNAcentral's name for it is "partial small subunit ribosomal RNA". The record is from RNAcentral. Lineage: Eukaryota; Viridiplantae; Streptophyta; Magnoliopsida; Poales; Poaceae.
AUGAACAAAGCCAGAGCACUUCAUGAAUACCUAUUCGGCAAAGAAGGACAGGACGAAUGCGGAGAUCUAAACGUAUAUAUUAGCUCGAAGGGACCCGAUUGGAUUACAGGAAAACAAAUAAUGGAACAGCUACGGAAAGGAGAUCAUGGACAGAUGGAGGGAUCCAUUGCAAACGCAUUGUUCGAAGAAUGGACAGUGCAGCAACAAUACAACACAACCGAUAAAGCCAUACUUCCCGCAGAAUUUGCAAACAUCGUGCUUGGUGUUAAAAUUGGAGGAAAAGGAGGACUAGCAGAAUUCAAUGAGGACGAAGCAUUGAAACAGUUUGCACCCCUUGUGACAGGGAAGGAACUUUUAAAGAAAAAGCUGAUUAUGAUACCUCACAACACAGCUAAACACUACACACUGUACGUGCUCAACAAGUACACGAGCUCCAUCGACAUACUUGACUCACUGAAUUACAGAGACGGAGACGGAAAAAAUUAA